This 253-nucleotide ribosomal RNA is filed under the name uncultured bacterium. RNAcentral's name for it is "partial 16S ribosomal RNA". It matches the Rfam family "Bacterial small subunit ribosomal RNA", at positions 524 to 776 of the family's 1533-position model. The record is from RNAcentral.
UACGAAGGUCCCGAGCGUUGUUCGGAAUCACUGGGCGUAAAGGGAGCGUAGGCGGCGUGGUAAGUCAGAUGUGAAAUCCCGGGGCUCAACCCCGGAACUGCAUCCGAUACUGCCGUGCUUGAGGGUUGGAGAGGUAGCUGGAAUUAUCGGUGUAGCAGUGAAAUGCGUGGAUAUCGAUAGGAACACUCGUGGCGAAGGCGAGCUGCUGGACAACAUCUGACGCUGAGGCUCGAAGGCCAGGGGAGCAAAAGGG